This is a long non-coding RNA of Vigna radiata var. radiata (mung bean), 542 nucleotides long. RefSeq lists it as uncharacterized. The record is from RefSeq and is a predicted model, not a curated record. The transcript has 3 exons. NCBI's taxonomy places the organism in Eukaryota, Viridiplantae, Streptophyta, Magnoliopsida, Fabales, Fabaceae.
CAUUUAUAUGUUCAUUUCUAUUUUCUUUUUCUCGUCAUUUCUCUAUCCUCCUUUCUUUUUCUUCAUUUUCGAAAAACCCUGGACUAAGGGGCUAGGGCAUGAGAGAGAGAGCUGCGCGACGGAGAGUACCAAAUGCAAGACCGGUGGUGAGUGAAAGGCACUGAGAGAACGAGUUUGGGAGCCAGAGAGUGAACGCAGAGGCGGGAGAGCGAGAUACAUGAAAUUCGAAAAGAGGAUUGCCGUAAAGGGGAAAUCGAACAAGAGUAAAUUUCAGUUUCCAUUUUAAAUUGUUGGCGUCUACAGCAACCUCUGCCAAGUUCCCCAUUUGCCUGUUGUGCAGGAUUUCAAUGGGUGUGAUUGAUUUCUACAACUCAGCUGCUUUGUGCUGGGUAAAAUCCAACAUCAAUCUGAAGCAGCAAGGGGGGUUACCUCUAAAACCCAUUUGUUCAUUUGAGGGGAAUCAGAGGAAGUUUGUGGCAAUGGCUUCUACCAUUCCUGUGGAGCAAGUCAACAAUGGUCCUCUGCAGGUGACAGGUGACUCC